This 468-nucleotide ribosomal RNA is filed under the name uncultured bacterium. RNAcentral describes it as "partial 16S ribosomal RNA". It matches the Rfam family "Bacterial small subunit ribosomal RNA", at positions 28 to 507 of the family's 1533-position model. The record is from RNAcentral.
GACGAACGCUGGCGGCGUGCUUAACACAUGCAAGUCGAACGGAAAGGCCCUGCUUUUGUGGGGUGCUCGAGUGGCGAACGGGUGAGUAACACGUGAGUAACCUGCCCUUGACUUUGGGAUAACUUCAGGAAACUGGGGCUAAUACCGGAUAGGAGCUCCUGCUGCAUGGUGGGGGUUGGAAAGUUUCGGCGGUUGGGGAUGGACUCGCGGCUUAUCAGCUUGUUGGUGGGGUAGUGGCUUACCAAGGCUUUGACGGGUAGCCGGCCUGAGAGGGUGACCGGCGACAUUGGGACUGAGAUACGGCCCAGACUGCUACGGAAGGCAGCAGUGGGGAAUAUUGCACGAUGGGCGGAAGCCUGAUGCAGAAACGCCGCGUGCGGGAUGGCGGCCUUCGGGUUGUAAACCGCUUUCGCCGGUGACGAAGCGUGAGUGACGGUAAUGGGUAAAGAAGCACCGGCUAACUACGUG